Pelobates cultripes (western spadefoot toad) is the source of this 209-nucleotide non-coding RNA. The record is from the annotation of a GenBank genome assembly. NCBI's taxonomy places the organism in Eukaryota, Metazoa, Chordata, Amphibia, Anura, Pelobatidae.
GUUAAAACUUACAUAGCUAAAUAGCCCCAGGUCCCCUCUGGGACCCCUGCAAAAAGCGGUUUGAUCGGACAUACAGAGCCAGAGAUAUCAGCGUUGAAAGUCUGGGUCUCAAGGCUCUGUACAUCCACUAAAUCAGUUCCAUGGUGUUGCUUGGUUUAGUCCGGAGAAUUCAAACCAAGUAACAGCCAAUCAGCUGAAAUGGUGCGAAC